Molecule: non-coding RNA, 70 nt
Organism: Gymnothorax javanicus (giant moray)
Lineage: Eukaryota; Metazoa; Chordata; Actinopteri; Anguilliformes; Muraenidae
Source: the annotation of a GenBank genome assembly
GCAAGGUGGCACAGUGGUGAGCGCUGUUGCCUCGCAAUAAGGCAGUUCUGGGUUCGAGCCCCAGCUGACU